RNAcentral lists this ribosomal RNA (438 nucleotides) under uncultured bacterium. RNAcentral's name for it is "partial 16S ribosomal RNA". It matches the Rfam family "Bacterial small subunit ribosomal RNA", at positions 355 to 782 of the family's 1533-position model. The record is from RNAcentral.
UAGGGAAUCUUCCACAAUGGACGCAAGUCUGAUGGAGCAACGCCGCGUGAGUGAAGAAGGCUUUCGGGUCGUAAAACUCUGUUAUUGAAGAAGAACGUGUGUGACAGUAACUGGUCAUGCAGUGACGGUAUUCAAUCAGAAAGUCACGGCUAACUACGUGCCAGCAGCCGCGGUAAUACGUAGGUGGCAAGCGUUGUCCGGAUUUAUUGGGCGUAAAGCGAGUGCAGGCGGUCUUUUAAGUCUGAUGUGAAAGCCUUCGGCUUAACCGAAGAAGGGCAUCGGAAACUGGGAGACUUGAGUGCAGAAGAGGAGAGUGGAACUCCAUGUGUAGCGGUGAAAUGCGUAGAUAUAUGGAAGAAACACCAGUGGCGAAGGCGGCUCUCUGGUCUGUAACUGACGCUGAGGCUCGAAAGCGUGGGGUAGCAAAACAGGAUUAGA